RNAcentral lists this ribosomal RNA (907 nucleotides) under Psychrobacter sp. Cantas16. Its description in RNAcentral is "bacterial SSU rRNA". It matches the Rfam family "Bacterial small subunit ribosomal RNA", at positions 396 to 1283 of the family's 1533-position model. Lineage: Bacteria; Pseudomonadati; Pseudomonadota; Gammaproteobacteria; Moraxellales; Moraxellaceae. The record is from RNAcentral.
GCCGCGUGUGUGAAGAAGGCCUUUUGGUUGUAAAGCACUUUAAGCAGUGAAGAAGACUCCGUGGUUAAUACCCACGGACGAUGACAUUAGCUGCAGAAUAAGCACCGGCUAACUCUGUGCCAGCAGCCGCGGUAAUACAGAGGGUGCAAGCGUUAAUCGGAAUUACUGGGCGUAAAGGGAGCGUAGGUGGCUCGAUAAGUCAGAUGUGAAAUCCCCGGGCUCAACCUGGGAACUGCAUCUGAUACUGUUGAGCUAGAGUAUGUGAGAGGAAGGUAGAAUUCCAGGUGUAGCGGUGAAAUGCGUAGAGAUCUGGAGGAAUACCGAUGGCGAAGGCAGCCUUCUGGCAUAAUACUGACACUGAGGCUCGAAAGCGUGGGUAGCAAACAGGAUUAGAUACCCUGGUAGUCCACGCCGUAAACGAUGUCUACUAGUCGUUGGGUCCCUUGAGGACUUAGUGACGCAGCUAACGCAAUAAGUAGACCGCCUGGGGAGUACGGCCGCAAGGUUAAAACUCAAAUGAAUUGACGGGGGCCCGCACAAGCGGUGGAGCAUGUGGUUUAAUUCGAUGCAACGCGAAGAACCUUACCUGGUCUUGACAUAUCUAGAAUCCUGCAGAGAUGCGGGAGUGCCUUCGGGAAUUAGAAUACAGGUGCUGCAUGGCUGUCGUCAGCUCGUGUCGNGAGAUGUUGGGUUAAGUCCCGCAACGAGCGCAACCCUUGUCCUUAGUUACCAGCGGGGUUAAGCCCGGGAACUCUNAAGGAUACUGCCAGUGACAAACUGGAGGAAGGCGGGGACGACGUCAAGUCAUCAUUGGCCCUUACGAACCAGGGCUACACACCGUGCUACAAAUGGGUAGGUACCAGAGGGCAAGSUACACCAGCGAAUGUGAUGCCGAAUCUUCAAAAAA